CCCUUAGAUGUUCUGGGUCGCACGCGCGCUACACUGAUGCAUUCAACGAUCCUAGCCUUGACCGAGAGGUCCGGGUAAUCUUUGAAACUGCAUCGUGAUGGGGCUAGAUUAUUGCAAUUAUUAAUCUUCAACGAGGAAUGCCUAGUAAGCGUGAGUCAUCAGCUCGCGUUGAUUACGUCCCUGCCCUUUGUACACACCGCCCGUCGCUACUACCGAUUGAAUGGCUUAGUGAGGUCUCCGGAUUGGCGUCGGGGAUCCGGCAACGGAACCCCUUCGCUGAGAAGCUGAUCAAACUUGGUCAUUUAGAGGAAGUAAAAGUCGUAACA
This 326-nucleotide ribosomal RNA is filed under the name uncultured eukaryote. Its description in RNAcentral is "partial 18S ribosomal RNA". It matches the Rfam family "Eukaryotic small subunit ribosomal RNA", at positions 1470 to 1796 of the family's 1831-position model. The record is from RNAcentral.